Molecule: ribosomal RNA, 1029 nt
Filed under: bacterium EFRS38
Lineage: Bacteria
Description: bacterial SSU rRNA
Rfam family: Bacterial small subunit ribosomal RNA
Source: RNAcentral
GCAGUCGAACGAUGAAACCCAGCUUGCUGGGUGGAUUAGUGGCGAACGGGUGAGUAACACGUGGGGGAUCUGCCCUGCACUUCGGGAUAAGCCUGGGAAACUGGGUCUAAUACCGGAUAGGACCUCGGGAUGCAUGUUCCGGGGUGGAAAGGUUUUCCGGUGCAGGAUGGGCCCGCGGCCUAUCAGCUUGUUGGUGGGGUAACGGCCCACCAAGGCGACGACGGGUAGCCGGCCUGAGAGGGCGACCGGCCACACUGGGACUGAGACACGGCCCAGACUCCUACGGGAGGCAGCAGUGGGGAAUAUUGCACAAUGGGCGCAAGCCUGAUGCAGCGACGCCGCGUGAGGGAUGACGGCCUUCGGGUUGUAAACCUCUUUCAGUACCGACGAAGCGCAAGUGACGGUAGGUACAGAAGAAGCACCGGCCAACUACGUGCCAGCAGCCGCGGUAAUACGUAGGGUGCGAGCGUUGUCCGGAAUUACUGGGCGUAAAGAGCUCGUAGGCGGUUUGUCGCGUCGUCUGUGAAAACCCGCAGCUCAACUGCGGGCUUGCAGGCGAUACGGGCAGACUUGAGUACUGCAGGGGAGACUGGAAUUCCUGGUGUAGCGGUGAAAUGCGCAGAUAUCAUGAGGAACACCGGUGGCGAAGGCGGGUCUCUGGGCAGUAACUGACGCUGAGGAGCGAAAGCGUGGGUAGCGAACAGGAUUAGAUACCCUGGUAGUCCACGCCGUAAACGGUGGGCGCUAGGUGUGGGUUUCCUUCCACGGGGAUCCGUGCCGUACUAACGCAUUUAAGCGCCCCGCCUGGGGGAGUACGGCCGCCAGGCUAAACUCAAAGGAAUUUGACGGGGGCCCCGCACAAGCGGCGGAGCAUGUGGGAUUAAUUCGAUGCAACGCGAAAACCUUACCUGGGUUGACAUACCCCGGACCGCCCCAGAGAUGGGGUUUCCCUUGUGGCCGGUGUACAAGGUGGUGGCAAUGCUGUUCGUCAGCCUCGGGUCCGGAAAAGUUGGGUUAAAUUCCCGCAAC